UGGAGGUGGCCACGCUUUCAAGCGUAUCAUUUUCUUUUAUAAAAUCAUCUCAACAAUUUGUCAAUUCAACCGAGUCAUUUUCCACUCUUCAAAUAGAAGACUAGUAUGUAAAACCGCGUCGUUUCAUGAACUUGUAGUUUUUACAAAAACUACGGUGUAGAUCUCGUUAUUUUUAGUGGAUCUAUUCAUAACAUAGCUUAGUCUUGCAAAAACCUCGUUUUUGGAACAAAUCACUUCUUACAACUUCCCGACAAUUUUUGUAAACAUUGUUAUUUUGUCGGAUCUUUUAUUCUACAAGUGUUUCUACACUUGUAGUUUAUAGAAAUCGUAUUUGUUAACACUUUAUCCACUUUUAUAAAAACAUGAUUUUCUCGACACCCGGUCCUACGAAUAUACCACUUGUACAUACGUAGAUCGGCUUGUUUUAAAUACUAUUUUUCAUGUUAAAACACUUUUAUACAAGUUCAUGUUUCUCGUGUGGUGGAGUUUCACCUUUUAACCCUUGAACCGCUGGCAUCCAGUGUAUGCCAAAAUUCGAGAUCUUAACAAAGUCGGGUUAAACGAUGAUAAGAGCCACCACAUCAUAGAUCGGGCCAUUUUAAUCAACAUGUUCAAAAACUACGACAUUUACACGCGUUUUGAGCUUUUAUCCAACAAUAUACACGUUUUAUAAACUUUAAAGUUUCAUUAAGCGGGUUACCGACAUUCAACCGACAAAUAUCCUUUUAACCACUUUAGACAUGCCCAAAAAUGAGUUUUAAACGUUAUACCUCUAGCUCGGGGCUAGGGAAGAAACUAGUCGAAAACUGCGUGGAUAAUAGCAAACGGUAGAGGUCCUUCGCGUUCCGUUUGUUCCGAGCUCCGUUGUACGUAACCACCGACACUUGUAUGGACUUGGAAUUGCAAGACUUGAACUCGAAAGCGGGUGGGUGGUGGUGAUAGUGUUCGGCCGAGAGGGAGAGCAAGGGAGGGAGAGAGAGUGAAGGUGAGGUGUGUGUGUGUUUAGGUGUGAGAGGUGAGGGUUAUUUAUAGAAAAAGUCGUCUCGAUCUUCGCGUAAUCUAAU
RNAcentral lists this long non-coding RNA (1064 nucleotides) under Helianthus annuus (common sunflower). Lineage: Eukaryota; Viridiplantae; Streptophyta; Magnoliopsida; Asterales; Asteraceae. The record is from RNAcentral.